UCCCUGGUGGCUCAGAUGGUAAAGAAUCUGCCUAUAAUGCAGAAGACUCAGGUUCAAACUCUGGUUUGGGAA
Molecule: transfer RNA, 72 nt
Filed under: Bos taurus (domestic cattle)
Lineage: Eukaryota; Metazoa; Chordata; Mammalia; Artiodactyla; Bovidae
Also listed under: 4 other names
Rfam family: tRNA
About the family: Transfer RNA (tRNA) molecules are approximately 80 nucleotides in length. Their secondary structure includes four short double-helical elements and three loops (D, anti-codon, and T loops).
Source: Rfam by way of RNAcentral